UCUUUUUUCAGGUCCUUUGACUUUUGAAUAUAUAUCAUUUGUCCAAUUAGUAGAUUCCUGGGUGCUUUGUAAAUUUUGCGAACUCUCUGCUUCAACCAUUUUCUUUUUUAGUUCAUCCUACAUAAAUACACCUUAUAAAUUAUUAUCAUACAUCAAUAUCCUGAAUACUUCAAUAUCACUAAACAAAACUCAUCUCCAUAUUAGUUACUCCCCCUCACCCCAUCACUAAACAAAACUCAUCUCCAUAUUGAGCAAAACACAGAAAAAGUAUUGAAAUAAAAAUUAAAAUUCUUACAAUUACAAUAGCAGCCUUUUCAAUAACAAUGCUUCCAUCUUUUCGAGUUCGAGUGUCAAUAUAAAUUUUUGCCCUAGAAGGUUGCACUCCCUUAGCCUUUGU
Molecule: long non-coding RNA, 397 nt
Filed under: Glycine max (soybean)
Lineage: Eukaryota; Viridiplantae; Streptophyta; Magnoliopsida; Fabales; Fabaceae
Description: long non-coding RNA (GMAX_LNC003594)
Source: RNAcentral